CGAUAGUAGCAAACCUGCAGGAAAACCAGGGGACAGGAGGAAUCAGGCAGCAGUGCAGUGAUUAAACAAAACUUAAACCAAUAAAUCUCAUCAAAAAACUUCUCUUUUUUUUUUCUGAAAAGUCUUGUUGUCACAAUGCAAUUAUACAUGCAACUUGGAAGCAUGAACAUGAAAUAAUAUUCAAACAACCGCAAAUUGUUAUGCCUCACACAAAAGAAAAAUGCAAUCAUUGUGCUACUAAGAAGAUUUUAAAAUAAAGCGGCCAAUAUCUCAUGCAAAUACCAGCCUAUAGAAGGGAAAAAAUUUAUGGUGCAAAGGAAGUUUGCAUAGUACAUUAAUCUACAUUCAGAAUGAAUAUCAUUCUCAACUUUAGCCAGAGGAAAAUACCAUAAUAAAAUGGAAAGGCUCGCCAAGAAAUUUAGCUGUACCUAAUUUUGUACUAGGAAGAAAAUUAAAAAUAAAAAUAAAAACCCUUAUUUCUGAAUAUUAUGACUCAAUCCAAAGGGCAAAAGAAAUUUAACCUGAAAAACUAUAGUGAAAAAAAUAACUCUGAGCUUUUCUAGAAAAACAAAAAAUUGAAAAAAAACACUAAGGGUAUCAUUGCAAGUAGAUAGGAUUAAGGCUGAACUUAUUUUUCCAAGACAUAUAUCUAAAUCGGGAACUCUAAACAAUCAGAAAUUAUAUUGCUUUUUCCUCAAAAGGUUUUUAAUACUCAAGUUCUAAUAUUACAAAGAUAUGCAUGGGAGGAAUAAGUUCACCAAGAGAGCAGGGCAUGACAUAUGCCACUCUACUUAUAAUUUCACAAUAUAAAUGGAAGAUAAUUCCUUAAAAAACUUAAACAUUCGCUUCCAAUAUUCAUUCAACUCUAAUUUCAAGUAGAAUUCCAUACAAAAUUUGAAAGGUUUUGAUCUUUCCUUUCUGUACGAAAACUACAUAUCCUUGCAUUCUUAUGGCCUAAUUUUAUUGCUUACUAUUUUUUAUGCAUAUACAAGACUUUCCAAUGCACGAAGUUGCAUAUUAACAAGAAGCGAGACAUGUAAAGAGGAGUACAGGACACAAUCAU
RNAcentral lists this unclassified non-coding RNA (1063 nucleotides) under Hevea brasiliensis (rubber tree). Lineage: Eukaryota; Viridiplantae; Streptophyta; Magnoliopsida; Malpighiales; Euphorbiaceae. The record is from RNAcentral.